Balaenoptera musculus (blue whale) is the source of this 104-nucleotide small nuclear RNA. Lineage: Eukaryota; Metazoa; Chordata; Mammalia; Artiodactyla; Balaenopteridae. The record is from Ensembl.
GUGAUUGCUUCAGCAGCACAUAUACUAAAAUUGGAACAAUACAGAAAUUAGCAUGGCCCCUGCCCAAGUAUGACAUGCAAAUACAUGAAGCAUUCCAUAUUUUU